This 179-nucleotide ribosomal RNA is filed under the name Lobelia nubigena. Its description in RNAcentral is "5.8S ribosomal RNA". The stretch from base 5 to 160 matches the Rfam family "5.8S ribosomal RNA". Rfam says of the family: 5.8S ribosomal RNA (5.8S rRNA) is a component of the large subunit of the eukaryotic ribosome. The record is from RNAcentral. Lineage: Eukaryota; Viridiplantae; Streptophyta; Magnoliopsida; Asterales; Campanulaceae.
AAACGACUCUCGACAACGGAUAUCUCGGCUCUCGCAUCGAUGAAGAACGUAGCUAAAUGCGAUACUUGGUGUGAAUUGCAGAAUCCCGUGAACCAUCGAGUCUUUGAACGCAAGUUGCGCCCGAAGCCGUCAGGCCGAGGGCACGUCUGCCUGGGCGUCACGCAUUGCGUCGCCCCCCC